AUUCCCCUGGCACCUUUACAUUUUAAUCUAAAUGUCCUCAUGCAGCCUGUCUAAAGGUUGAACUGUCAGAUUUUACAUCCAGCUUUAGAAAAAUAUACGUCACCAUGUCACAUGACGUGGUGGCCGCAGUUGCUUUUCUGAGGCUGCACAAAGUUGGAACCAGACGUUUGGCUGGUCUCGCGGCAUUUUUCUUUGCAAUUGCCGCGAGAUCAGUCCUUGAUCUCAGCUCACAGUGAGCUCACGCAGGUACAAUGUGUCCGACUUUACGGCUUUUAUACCCGCCCCUGCGGUCACCUGCAGCUCGUUAUGCCGCCGUCAUCUCGAACGCACCUAUUGUCUGCAGUAGCCUGUUUGUUGAUUCACCUGAGCAAACACCUGUUUUCUUCCUGUGGACGUUUCCAGGCGCCACGAGGGCAAAAACAAAGUGGGAAUAAAAACAGGAUGUGACUUCAUCAGUGAAGAAAUGUGGAUGGUUGAAAGCUCCGCUCCAUCAGUAAGGAGAGGGAGAACAAGUGUCCUGGGCCCUUCAGUGAGAGCAGCAGAGAGGGAGCAUCACCUUCACCUGGAGUCCAACACCACGACAGACGGAUAACAAAACUAAAUCCAGCAGAAACGAGAAGAUGACUCAUGUUGUUUUCUUCUGUUUCUUCCAGCAGCUGAAACUGAUGAACGGCCUGACGCUUCAUUUCCACCUUCUCAUGAUUUCCUUCUACAGUCCCGCAGCAGCCUUUCCCUCAGACCAGGCUGUUGGGGACACGCCCUGAAGACUCGCUUCCAGCUGCUGCACCUGGAGGACAGCUGACACCACGAGUCCCAGCAGCACCUGUUCUGGACCAAUAAAGACCUUGUGCGGUCAGUCAUCUUCCACCUUUAGGAAAACUUCAGCCACUUCCUGUUUCCCGCUCCAUAACCCCCAGCUUCUACCUCUCCAGAACACCGGGAGGGACACGGCCCCCUCCCGAACCCGACGCCGCGGGACCGGCUCCGGGUACCCGGCCGCACGCGGGAUUCGAACCACCGCUGCGCUGCCUGCGCCUCGCGGUCGCCAUCGAACCCCACGCCGCCACCGAGUCCCCUUCACAUCUGAACCUUUUCUCCGGGCGCUUUUAUCUUCUCACUUUGGCUGUUGGACUUCAAAAGUCACUGAGCCUCAUAAGGAUCGAACCCACAACCUCAGAGCUUCUGAGCAGCCUUCUAACACUCUGAGCUGUUUGAUCUGAGACACUGACUCUUUCUUUCUUACAGCUUUUCACUUUGUUGUUAAAGUUGAAAUAAUAAUCUUAUUAUUGUAGUUCUUCAAACUAAUCAGUAGAAUUAAUCCAUUCUCAGAUAUUCUGAGUCAAAUUUAACAAACAUAUUAAGGAUUUCUAACAAAUAGAAUUUCAUUUUGUGAAAUAAAGCUGAAUGAUAAAUUGUAAGUUGAAUUUCUAGGCUUUUAUUUUGGUAUGUCCGAGUCAAACAGUCACUAAAGUGCCGUUCAGAGAAUUGAUGAAGUUACUAUUUAUUACUGCAUCAUUUUUUAUAGUGUAGAAAAACUAAAGGUGAAAUAUUCAGAUGGAAAUGAUUUGAAACAGAGAAAACUUUUUCUGAUAAAUAAAUGUUUGAUUUUCAAAGUU
Micropterus salmoides (largemouth bass) is the source of this 1616-nucleotide long non-coding RNA. RefSeq lists it as uncharacterized. The record is from RefSeq and is a predicted model, not a curated record. The transcript has 4 exons. Lineage: Eukaryota; Metazoa; Chordata; Actinopteri; Centrarchiformes; Centrarchidae.